AGUGGCGGACGGGUGAGUAACGCGUGGGCAACCUGCCCCAUACAGGGGGAUAACAGUUAGAAAUGACUGCUAACACCGCAUAAGCGCACAGGGCCGCAUGGCUCGGUGUGAAAAACUCCGGUGGUAUGGGAUGGGCCCGCGUCUGAUUAGCCAGUUGGCGGGGUAACGGCCCACCAAAGCGACGAUCAGUAGCCGACCUGAGAGGGUGACCGGCCACAUUGGGACUGAGACACGGCCCAAACUCCUACGGGAGGCAGCAG
Molecule: ribosomal RNA, 260 nt
Filed under: uncultured bacterium
Lineage: Bacteria
Description: partial 16S ribosomal RNA
Rfam family: Bacterial small subunit ribosomal RNA
Source: RNAcentral